Molecule: ribosomal RNA, 313 nt
Filed under: uncultured bacterium
Lineage: Bacteria
Description: bacterial SSU rRNA
Rfam family: Bacterial small subunit ribosomal RNA
Source: RNAcentral
GAUGAACGCUGGCGGCGUGCAUAACACAUUCAAGUCGAACGGACGCGACGGGAGCUUGCUCCUGUCAAGUUAGUGGCGGACGGGUGAGUAACGCGUGAGCAACCUGCCUUACAAAGCGGGAUAACAUCGGGAAACUGGUGCUAAUACCGCAUAACGUAUACUGUACGCAUGUAUAGUAUACCAAAGUAGCAAUACGAUGUAAGAUGGGCUCGCGUCUGAUUAGGUAGUUGGUGAGGUAACGGCUCACCAAGCCGACGAUCAGUAGCCGGACUGAGAGGUUGAUCGGCCACAUUGGGACUGAGACACGGCCCAA